RNAcentral lists this long non-coding RNA (1126 nucleotides) under Brassica napus (rape). RNAcentral describes it as "long non-coding RNA (BNAP_LNC027042)". Lineage: Eukaryota; Viridiplantae; Streptophyta; Magnoliopsida; Brassicales; Brassicaceae. The record is from RNAcentral.
GUAAUAACGGAUUGAGCGGUACGGGACAAGCAGUACAACUGCGGUGCGGUUCUAAUAGUUAUAAAAAUGUAUAAAUAUAUGGUAUAUGUAAAGAUUUUUGCUAUUAUUAACUGCGCUACGGUGCGAGGCCGAUUAAAACAUCCGGAGCCUUAAUAAAAUUAUACUAAAACCUGUUAAUUACGUAUUAAAAUAAAAUUAAACUAUAAUUUAAUGAGAUAUAUUCUAAUUUUGUAGUGAGAGAGAGACGAGCUCCCAACUUCUCACUAGAAAAAGGUUUCAGAAAACAGUUGACUCACGGUGGCCGGUGGCUUUGCCGCCGGUUACCAUCCUCUUCUUUUUUUUUUCUUUGUGUUUCAUCUUGUAAGUUUGUUUGUCCGUGUCUCUGUUGAUCUCUUUCCGGCAUCGUUGGCUCUGUUGAGUUUGCAUGUCCGGGUUCGUUCCAGUAUCGCACCUUCUUAUGGUGGAUGACUGGCUUUUGACUCUGGGGCCGUGUCGUCUUCUUCGGUGUUGGUCGCCGGCUAUCGUAUCCAAUCGUCUGUAGGUGUACGCAAGAGUUUUCUUUCUCGUGUGUGGGUGUCUUCGUGUUUGGUGGCUUGGCUUUGGAUGAGAUCUCGGUGAUUGAUACUCUCCGAUGGACGAGCACAAGCGUAGACGGUGUAGCUGAUGGAGUCCCAAACUUCCAAUAUAGUCGUUGGAAGGCUUUGUUGGCUGUGGUCUUGUUUCCCGAAAGAUUCUGGUGGUUAGCAGUUUGGGUUGGAUCGGUGACGACCUUCUGUCGGUGAAGAUGGUGGAGGAUUGUAACAACACGUGUCCCUCUUUCCAUGUUUAUUUUAACACGUUUCAUAGUAUCGGCGGCACCGUUUGUUUGUGUUCUGUGUGUUAGGGUAGACCAAUGUUGGGCCUCUGUUUUUUAGUUUAUGAUUUGGGUUUGUUGCUGGUGGGCCUUUCUUUUUGGGUUUGUAUGUUUGAAACCUCAAUAAAAUUUUAACUAGCGAAAAAAAAAAUUAAACUAUAAUUUAUCAAUUACACAUACAAUAAUAGGAACUGUGUUAUGGAUGACACAAAGGCAUGCUACUAAAUAGUAGAGUCCUAGUAGCACAAUACAAGCUUCUAGUGUGCAUACGAC